GACCUGGUACAGUGGUCCGCCUUCACGGUGUGUACUGCUGGACCGGGUUCUACCUCUUGGUGAGCCGGCAUGCCCUUCACUGGGUGUGUCGGGGAACCAGGACUUUUACCUUGAGAAAAUUAGAGUGUUCAAAGCAGGCCUACGCCCGAAUACAUUAGCAUGGCAUAAUAAAAUAGGACGUGCGGUUCUAUUUUGUUGGUUUCUAGAGUCGCCGUA
This 216-nucleotide ribosomal RNA is filed under the name Glomeromycotina sp. Its description in RNAcentral is "partial small subunit ribosomal RNA". The stretch from base 92 to 216 matches the Rfam family "Eukaryotic small subunit ribosomal RNA", at positions 738 to 864 of the family's 1831-position model. The record is from RNAcentral. Lineage: Eukaryota; Fungi; Glomeromycota.